AAGUUUUGGUCCUAAACUUGCCAUUGUUUUUAAUCAAAAUUAUACAUGCAAGCCUCUACACACCAGUGAGAAUGCCCACAUACCCCCCAAAAGCUAACCGGAGCAGGCAUCAGGAUCAAACACUCUUGGCCUAAAACGCCUUGCUCAUGCCACACCCACAAGGGUUUUCAGCAGUAAUUAAUAUUAAAAAAUAAGCGAAAGCUUGACUUAGUUAUGAUUAAUAUGGCCGGUAAAUUUCGUGCCAGCCACCGCGGUUAUACGAACGACCAAAAACAAUGACCGUCGGCGUAAAGCGUGAUCAUGGGUUCCACUCUUAAUUUUAAGGGGGCACAUCUGCCAAGUCGUAGAACACUGCUGCACAUCAGAACAACCAAAAUACCCUUAAAACCAAAGUUACCCCUCACUUCACGAAAGCUAAGAAACAAACUGGGAUUAGAUACCCCACUAUGCUUAGCCUUAAACACAGAUAGUAAAAUACAACACUAUCCGCCAGAGAAUUACGAGCGAAAAGCUUAAAACUCCAAGGACUUGGCGGUGCUUCAAACCAACCUAGAGGAGCCUGUCCUAUAAUCGAUACUCCACGUUUUACCUCACCACUCCUUGCCAACCAGCCUAUAUACCGCCGUCGUCAGCCUACCUUGUGAAAGCAACAAAGUGAGCAAAAUAGUUAACAACUAACACGUCAGGUCAAGGUGUAGCACACGGGGUGGAAGAGAUGGGCUACAUUUUUACAAAGGAAACACACGAACAGAGCGUUGAAAUACGCACUUAAAGGUGGAUUUAGUAGUAAAACGAACAAGAAAAGUUGUUUUAAACCUGCUCUGAAGCGCGCACACACCGCCCGUCACCCUCAUCA
RNAcentral lists this ribosomal RNA (856 nucleotides) under Sphenomorphus jobiensis. RNAcentral's name for it is "partial 12S ribosomal RNA". It matches the Rfam family "Bacterial small subunit ribosomal RNA". The record is from RNAcentral. Lineage: Eukaryota; Metazoa; Chordata; Lepidosauria; Squamata; Scincidae.